RNAcentral lists this ribosomal RNA (1547 nucleotides) under uncultured bacterium. RNAcentral's name for it is "partial 16S ribosomal RNA". It matches the Rfam family "Bacterial small subunit ribosomal RNA". The record is from RNAcentral.
AGAGUUUGAUCCUGGCUCAGGACUAACGCUGGCGGCGCGCCUAACACAUGCAAGUCGUACGGUUUAGUGGUUGGCGUCCAGCGGUUGGGUCUCGGUUUAUCCGGGUAUUCUGACUGUUGAACGCUGGUCACUGAAUAGUGGCGGACGGGUGAGUAACGCGUAGAUUACGUGCCUUCCUCCUGGGGAUAACAGUUCGAAAGGACUGCUAAUACCGAAUACAUUCGUAUAUUAUUCGUGUACGAAGAAAGUCGCAAGGCGGAGGAAGAGCGGUCUGCGUCCUAUUAGCUAGUUGGUAGGGUAAUGGCCUACCAAGGCGACGAUGGGUAGCUGGUCUGAGAGGAUGAUCAGCCACACUGGGACUGAGACACGGCCCAGACUCCUACGGGAGGCAGCAGUGAGGAAUUUUGCACAAUGGGCGAAAGCCUGAUGCAGCGACGCCGCGUGGACGAAGAAGGCCUUUGGGUUGUAAAGUCCUGUCAGUGGGAACGAUAAUGACGGUACCCGCUGAGGAAGCUCCGGCUGACUCCGUGCCAGCAGCCGCGGUAAGACGGAGGGAGCAAGCGUUGUCCGGAAUCACUGGGCGUAAAGAGCUCGUAGGCGGGGAUCUAGGUCUGGAGUGAAAUCCAACGGCUCAACCGUUGGUCAUCCCGGAUACUGGUCUCUUGAGGACAGAAGGGAAAGGAGAAUUCCAGGUGUAGCGGUGAGAUGCGUAGAUAUCUGGAGGAACACCGGUGGCGAAGGCGCCUUUCUGGUCUGAUUCUGACGCUGAGGAGCGAAAGCCAGGGGAGCGAACGGGAUUAGAUACCCCGGUAGUCCUGGCUGUAAACGAUGGAUACUAGGUGUAGGGGUAUCGACCCCCUCUGUGCCGCACUAACGCAAUAAGUAUCCCGCCUGGGGAGUACGGCCGCAAGGUUGAAACUCAAAGGAAUUGACGGGGGCCCGCACAAGCGGUGGAGCAUGUGAUUUAAUUCGACUACGCGAAGAACCUUACCCGGGUUUGACAUUGUAGUGAAUCACGUAGAGAUACGUGCGUCCUUUUAGGACACUAUAACAGGUGCUGCAUGGCUGUCGUCAGCUCGUGACGUGAGGUGUUGGGUUAAGUCCCGCAACGAGCGCAACCCUCGUCCUUAGUUGCCAGCGAGUAAUGUCGGGCACUCUAGGGAGACUGCCACCCAAAGUGGAGGAAGGUGAGGAUGACGUCAAGUCAGCAUGGCCCUUAUGUCCGGGGCUACACACAUGCUACAAUGGCCGGUACAAUGGGCUGCAAAGCCGCGAGGUAGAGCGAAUCCCAAAAAGCCGGUCUCAGUUCGGAUUGCAGGCUGCAACUCGCCUGCAUGAAGUCGGAAUCGCUAGUAACCGCAGAUNCUACGCUGUGGUGAAUACUGUUCCCGGGCCUUGUACACACCGCCCGUCACGUCACGAAAGCCGGAUGUACCCGAAGUCGCUGGCCUAACCGUAAGGGGGGAGGCGCCGAAGGUAUGCUCGGUGAUUGGGACGAAGUCGUAACAAGGUAGCCGUAUCGGAAGGUGCGGAUGGAUCACCUCCUU